CUCUCUCUCUGCGCAUCUCCUCCUCGUCGAACAAAUUGGAGCUCUAAAUGCCCAAUUUGUUCGUUGCAGUCGUCUCUCCCCAAACCCCCAACCUAGCCUCUGUUCCUAAACGCCUCCAACCCCCUUCACGAUGCCAUUGAGGAGCUCCAGCGCCUUCAUCACACCGAUGUUGCGCGUGGCUCGCAGCACCACCCGCCCAGUGACCAUGCGAACGGCGAGUUAUACGUCGCGCACGCGAUUGGGAACUCUGCCAGAGCCUCCGGUAUGCUCGCUACCUGCAUCAUCCAACCCAUCAAUAUGAUCAAGAUCUAUGAUUUGUUUGGCUCCGUUGAUGGAGGAGAGGGUGACUUUGAAAUGGAGGAAGAACAAGGAUGUUGUUCUGUGGUUUGGGUUGUCUCUGUUUCUACUUUUUCCUCUUGCUCCGUCAAUGAACGGUGAAGCCCAACUUUCUGGAAACAAGAGAAAAUGAAGAGCUGCAAUGUGUUUUCCAAAAGUUUUAUGGUUUUUACUUGUGAAUUUUCUGUGACAAUGUCAGCCUCUUUGUGGCCUCCUUGAAUUUGUCCAGCUUGAAUCUUGGCGAAGAGAUUUUGCCAGCCCUUGGAGAGCUGGGAAACUUGGAAUCCAUGUAUGUUUUAUGUCUAUUUUAAACUCUUUUUUUUCCUUUUUAUUUUUUUUUUAAUUUUUGUGUUCAUAGUGUAAUAGUCCUGAAGUGGUGUGAUGACUCUUUGUUUAUUUUCGAAUCGUAGAGACUUGCAGGGUAAUGAGCUAAGUAGCUAACUGGUCAAAUCCCGGAUGAGAUUGGCAACUGUGCUUCUCUUAUG
Molecule: long non-coding RNA, 821 nt
Organism: Rosa rugosa (rugosa rose)
Lineage: Eukaryota; Viridiplantae; Streptophyta; Magnoliopsida; Rosales; Rosaceae
Exons: 4
Source: RefSeq, a predicted model, not a curated record